AGAGUUUGAUCAUGGCUCAGAUUGAACGCUGGCGGCAUGCCUUACACAUGCAAGUCGAACGGCAGCACGGGAGCUUGCUCCUGGUGGCGAGUGGCGAACGGGUGAGUAAUAUAUCGGAACGUGCCCUAGAGUGGGGGAUAACUAGUCGAAAGAUUAGCUAAUACCGCAUACGAUCUAAGGAUGAAAGUGGGGGAUCGCAAGACCUCAUGCUCGUGGAGCGGCCGAUAUCUGAUUAGCUAGUUGGUGAGGUAAAGGCUCACCAAGGCGACGAUCAGUAGCUGGUCUGAGAGGACGACCAGCCACACUGGAACUGAGACACGGUCCAGACUCCUACGGGAGGCAGCAGUGGGGAAUUUUGGACAAUGGGCGCAAGCCUGAUCCAGCAAUGCCGCGUGAGUGAAGAAGGCCUUCGGGUUGUAAAGCUCUUUUGUCAGGGAAGAAACGGUUCUGGUUAAUACCCGGGGCUAAUGACGGUACCUGAAGAAUAAGCACCGGCUAACUACGUGCCAGCAGCCGCGGUAAUACGUAGGGUGCAAGCGUUAAUCGGAAUUACUGGGCGUAAAGCGUGCGCAGGCGGUUGUAC
This 583-nucleotide ribosomal RNA is filed under the name uncultured Herbaspirillum sp. RNAcentral's name for it is "bacterial SSU rRNA". It matches the Rfam family "Bacterial small subunit ribosomal RNA", at positions 8 to 584 of the family's 1533-position model. Lineage: Bacteria; Pseudomonadati; Pseudomonadota; Betaproteobacteria; Burkholderiales; Oxalobacteraceae. The record is from RNAcentral.